GUGGGACCAGAUGUGCCUGAAUCUGCACACGGGGUGCAGGGAGUAAAGUGAGUACUCCAACUCAGUGAGUAAUAAUCAUAAAUAAAGACUGUAAGCAUGAAUUCACGUAAGGUACAUUAUAGGCUAUAAUGAGGUAGUAAAACCAGUAAAACCAGUAAAUCAAAAAAAGAUAUGUGAAAGUUAUUUUAGUUCAAAUUACACUUCAUGAAAAACCUUUCUCAACAAUUAAGCAGGUAAAUGACAUGCAAUUAAGUAAGUUAAACACAUAAAGGUUCGCCCCUCGGGCAUAGCAUCAACAAAUCCGCCCCUCGGGCAUAGCAUCAACAAAUCCUCCCCUCGAGAAAUAUCUCAGAAUAAUAGUAGCCCCUCGGGCUAUAUCUCACAUCACAAUGGGUACCCGCGCUCACUAGGGGUGUGUAGACUCCUAGAGAGGCCCUUUACGGCCUAAGCGCAAUAUCAAGCCAUCUCGUGGCAUCAUCACUAGGCUCUCGACAUCAUAUCAACAAGCCACCUCGUGGCGUACACAUCUCAGGCCCUCGGCCUCAUAAGAAUAAUCAGUAUUUCCUCACAACAUAGGCCCUUGGCCUUACUCAGUCAAAAUCUCACAGCCACUCGGGCAACAGUAAAACAUAGUGCUUAGCCCAAAAUAUCAUUUAAGUAUUAAAGUAGAGUAAACAUGGCUGAGUUAUGAAAAUAGUAGAAUACAACAUGAUUGAGUUCAAGUAUAAAGUCAAAACAGUAAGGAAUAUCAAUAAAAAUCCCCUAAGGGUUCAAAUAGUUGGCACGAAGCCCAAAUAUGGCAUUCAGCCUAAAACAAGAUGAUAUCAAAUAGAUUGCAGUCAAAUAUGCGGUAAAAUAGUCAUUCGGGACAGACUAAGUCAAAAUCUCCAAUAGUGCACAACUCCACGCUCGUCAUCUAGCAUGUGCGUCACCUCAAUAUAGCAUCACGAUGUGCAAUCCAGGGUUUCAUAUCCUCAUGACAUCAUUUACAAUCAUUACUCAACUCAAUCCGGUCAAAUCUCUAGCCCGCAACGCCUUUGCCCCUCGAAUCGGCCUCCACUCGCAUUGAAUCUAUCCAAAAUCAGAAACACGGCAUGAAAAUAUGCUAAGGGAACGAAGCCCAAGCGAAAAUAAUCAAUAUACAACACAAAUCCCGAAAUUACCAAAACCCGACCCCCGGGCCCAUGUCUCAGAAUUCGAUAAAAUUCACAUCAAUGGAUUUCUUAUCUCCCCACGAGUUCAUACAUAUCAAAAGUACCAAAAUCCGAUCACAAUAGGUUCCUCAAAUCCACAAGUCUAGGUCUCCAAUACCAAGCCCUAGUUUCCCCAAUUUUAACCCUUAAUUUCCAUUAAUUAUGGCUCUAAUCCGUGAAAUAAUACAUAGGAACGAGUUUUAUGACCAAAAUUUUUACCUCAAUAAAGUUCCCUUGUAAUCUCUCUUCAAAAUCGUCCAAAAAGCUCCAAAGCCGACUUAAAAAUGGUGAAAUAGCUCAAAAAUCGCGAAGGACACAAUUUAUACCUUCUGGCCUAGGCAUUUUCGCAUCUGCGGCCAUAUACCCGUUUUUGCGGUAUCGCAUUUGCGGCCAAAGAACUGCCUCUGUGGUUUUCACUUAUUCUGUCCUGAUCCGCAUCUGCGAUGCACCAGCCGCACCUGCGCCAUCGCAGGUGCGGUCCACUAACCAUUUUUGCGGCUUCCUGCCUACCUAGCUCCAUUCUGCUUCUGCAGCUCCCCUCCACGCAUCUGCGAGAUCGCACUUGCGCACCCUAAUCCGCAUGUGCAGAAAUACCAGAAGCAGCAAAAAAUUUGCAGCCUACCAAAAUUCCAAACUUCUCCGUUAACCAUCCGAAAUCACCUCGAGGCCCCUAGGACCUCAACUAAAAACACCAACCUAUUCCAAAACCUAAUUCAAUCUUGUACCAAUCUUCAAAACACCUCAAAUAACAUCGAAUCAACCAAACCACAUCAGAUUCAAACCAACUGGACCGUGAUGAAAUCCAGAACAUGAGAUGGAUACCCGGAGCAUGGAAACAUGAAUUACCUGGUGCACACUCGACAAGCUGAGUGGUAAAGCAAGCUCAUAAGCCACCCCCCAAUCCUCUGAAGCACCUCAAAAGGCUCAAUGAACCGAGGACUCAAUUUCCCUUUCUUCCCAAAUCUCAUAGCACCCUUUAUGGGCGAAACCUUCAACAGAACCUUCUCGCCAACCAUGUAGGACACAUCUUGAACCUUCCUGUCAGCGUAACUUUUUUGUCUCGACUGUGCUGUACGAAGCCUCUCCUGAAUUACCUUCACCUUUUCUAAGGCAUCCUGCACCAAGUUUGUCCCCAAUAGCCUAGCCUCACCUGGCUCAAACCAACCAACUAGAGAUCUAUACCGUCUCUCAUACAAAGCCUCAUAUGGAGCCAUUUGAAUACUCGACUGGUAGCUGUUGUUAUAAGAAAACUCUUCAAGCGUUAGAAACUGAUCCCGUGACCCUCCGAAAUCAAUGACACAAGCACGCAACAUGUCCUCCAAUAUCUGAAUAGUGUGCUCGGUCUGCCCGUCUGUCUGAGGGUGAAAAGUUGUGCUCAACUCAACCUAAGUACCCAACUCUCGCUGCACAGACCUCCAAAAAUGCGAAGUAAACUGAGUGCCCCUAUUUGAGAUGAUGGAAACUGGGACACCAUGCAAACGAACAAUCUACCAGAUAUAGAUCUCUGCCAACCACUCUGAAGAAUAGGAAGUAGACACAGGAAUAAAGUGCGCGGACGUAGUCAGCCGAUCCACAAUCACCCAAAUGGCAUCGAACUUCUUUAAAGUUCGUGAAAGUCCAACUACAAAGUCCAUAGUGAUCCUCUCCCACUUCCACUCUGGAAUAUCCAUCCGCUGAAAUAAACCACCUGGUAUCCGAUGCUCAUAUUUCACCUGCUGACAAUUGAGAGACCGAGCUACAAAUCCCACAAUGUCUUUCUUUAUUCUUCUCCACCAAUAAUGCUGCCUCAAAUCCUGAUACAUCUUUGCAACACCUAGAUGAAUGGAAUACCGCGAGCUAUGGGCCUCCUCCAUAAUCAACUCCCGAAGCCCAUCCACAUUGGGAACACAUAUCCGGCCCUGCAUCCUCAACACCCUAUCGUCACCAAUGGUUACAUCUCUGGCAUCAUCAUGCUAAACUUUGUCCUUAACGACAAGCAAAUACGGAUCAUCAUACUAGCGCUCUCUGAUGCGAUCAUAUAAGAAAGACCGAGAAACCACACAAGCCAAAACCCGAUUGGGCUCCGAAAUAUCUAACCUCACGAACCUAUUGGCCAAGGCCUGAACAUCAACUGCAAGAGGUCUCUCCCCAACUGGAAUAUAUUCCAAACUCCCCAUACUCACCGUCUUUCAUCUCAAAGCAUCGGCCACCAUAUUGGCCUUUCCUGGAUGGUACAAUAUAGUGAUAUCAUAAUCCUUAAGCAAUUUCAACCACCUCCGUUGUCUCAAAUUAAGAUCCUUCUGUUUGAACAAGUGCUGGAGACUACGAUGAUCAGUAAACACCUCACAAGACACACCAUAUAAGUAAUGCCUCCAAAUCUUCAACGCGUGAAAUAUGGCAGCCAACUCCAAAUCAUGAAUGGGGUAGUUCUUCUCAUGGGGCUUCUACUGACGAGAAGCAUAAGCGAUAACUCUACCCUCCUCCAUCAAUACACAACCAAUACCAACUCUCGAAGCAUCAUAAUACACGGUAUAUAAACCUGAAGCUGAUGGCAAAACUAACACUGGAGCUAUGGUUAAGGCUGUCUUGAGCUUCUGAAAGCUCUCCUCACACUCAUCCGACCAUACAAAUGAAGAACCUUUCUAAGUCAACUUGGUCAAGGGCGAUGCGAUGGAUGAAAAUCUCUGAACAAACCGGCGAUAAUAGCCUACCAGACCAAGAAAGUUAUGAAUCUCUAUGGCUGAAGACGGUCUAGGCCAACUCUGAACUGCCUCUAUCUUCUUCGGAUCAACCUGAAUACCCUUGUUGGACACCAUGUUCCCCAAGAAAGCCGCCAAAACUCACACUUGGAGAAUUUUGCAUAAAGCUUCUCCUCUUUCAAUAUCUGCAACACAACUCUUAAAUUCUCUGUGUGCUCCUCCUGACUACGCGAAUACACCGGAAUAUCAUCAAUGAAGACUAUGACAAACGAGUCGAGAUAAGGCCGAAACACGCUAUUCAUCAAAUGCAUGAAUGCUGCUGGGGCAUUGGUCAGCCCAAAACAUAUCACCAAGAACUCAUAAGGACCAUAUCCGGUCAUGAAAGCUGUCUUAAGAAUAUCCGAGUCCCUGAUCUUCAACUGGUGAUACCCUGAACGGAGAUCAAUCUUGGAGAACACUCUCGCUCCCUGAAACUGGCCGAAUAAAUCAUCAAUAGAGGCAAAGGAUACUUACUCUUAACUAUUACUUUGUUCAAUUGCCUAUAAUCAAUGCACAUCCUCAUAGUGCCAUCCUUCUUCUUCACAAAUAGAACCGCCGAAUGAACCCCUUAUCAAGGAGUUCUUAAAGCUGCUCUUUUAACUCCUUCAACUCCGCUGGUGCCAUACGAUACGGCGGAAUAGAAAUGGGCUGAGUGUCCGGCACUAGGUCAAUACCAAAAUCAAUAUCCCUGUUCGGUGGCAUGCCCGACAGGUCUGCAAGAAACACAUCGGGAAAAUCCCUCACAACUAGAAAAGAAUUAUUACUGGGAGUCUCUGCAUCGACAUCCCUCACAAAGGCUAGAUACGAAAAACAACCCUUCCCAACCAUACGUUGGGCUUUCAAGAAAGAUAUCACUCUACUAGGAACAUAAUCAGUCACACCUGACCACUCAAUCCGUGGCACACCCGGUAUAGCCAAUGUUACUGUCUUAGCAUGACAGUCCAGAAUAGCACUAUACGGAGAUAGCCAAUCCAUGCCCAAAAUGACAUAGAAAUCCACCAUACAUAAUAAUAAAAGAUCCACUCGGGUUUUUAGACCCCCAAUAGUCACCACACACGACCGAUACACACAGUCUACAACAACAGUAUCGCCCACUGGGGUAGAUACAUGAACAGGUGAUACAAGAGACUCAUGGGGCGUAUCCAAAUAAUGAGCAAAGUAUGAUGACACAUAAGAAAAGGUGGAACUAGGAUCAAAUAAUACAGAGGCAUCUUUUUGGAAGACUGAAACAAUACUUAUAAUAACAGCAUCGGAAGCAAUAUUCGGGUCUAGCUGGAAGUGCAUAAAAAUGGGCCUAGCCGCCACCUGAUCGACCUCCCCCUCUGGGACGGCCUCUAGCUGACUGACCUCCACCCCUAGUUGGCUGGGUGGGUGAUGAUGAAGUAACUAGCGCUGAAUCCGAUGACUGACCCCUCUGCUGAGAUGAACCCGCAAGACGACGAGGGCACUGACUCCACAUAUGACCCAUAUCUCUACAAUCAUAACAACUCCCAAGUGCUGGAGAAGGGGACUGAAGGGAACCCCUCGCACCUGAAUGACUAGCAGAUGCACCUGGCAUAGAAGAGCCCUGAACUGAUGGAGCACGGGACGAACUUUGAGCUGGAUUGGCACUAAGUGAUGAUUGGCCCUGAUGAGAACCGUAAGAACCAUGACUCGAUGACACUCCACGAUAACCUGGGUGAGCUGGCUGAGCAUGCCUGAAUAGAUGGCCUCUACCGUGCUGAAACUGGCCUCUUGAAGGAGCACCACGAUAACUACCAGAUCCUCGAGGCCUCUUGGCCUCCCUCUCCUCUCGCUCCUAGCGAUGAACAGACUCAAUCUCACGGGCGAUAUCCACAACCUCCUCGUAAGUUGCACCAGUACCCUCUCCCUGGUCAUGAGAAUGCGAAGCUGAUAAGUGAGGCCAUCAACAAACCUCUUAAUCCUCUCUCUAUCUGUCGAAACCAACCAAAUGGCAUGACGAGCUAACUCGGAGCACCUCAACUCAUACUGCGACACGGUCAUCUCUCCCUGAUGCAACCACUCAAACUGCCUGCGCAGCUCCUCUCUAUGAGACUGCGACACAUAAUUCUCCAGAAAGAGAACGGAGAAUUGCUGCUAGGUAAGGGGUGCUGCACCAACAGGCCUACACCUCUCAAAAUCCUCCCACCAAGUGAAGGAAGCUACAGAAAACUAAUAAGCAGUGAAAGCGACCCCGCUGGUCUCCAGAAUACCCGCUGUACAAAGCAUCCUCUAACACUUAUCUAAGAAACCCUGGGCAUCCUCGCCCUCUGCACUACUGAAGGUCGGAGGCUGAAGUUUACCAAACCUCUCCAACCUACGUUGUUUGUCCUAUGACAUGGCAGGAACUACAUAAUCCUAAGCAGCUGCAACUGGCUGGGCUGGAUGUGCCCCCGGUAUCUGAAGUCCCUACACGACCUGCUCAGAUGUGCGGGCGAGGGGAGUCUGAUUUCCUCUCCCGGCCUGAGAAGUAGCUGUGGCUGUAGUAGGUGAGACUACCUGAGCUAGGCCAGUGCAAACUGAUAGAAUCUGAGCCAAGGCCUCUUGAAGACCCGAAAUCACAAUGGCCACAGCUGGUGCUUGAGCUGGUACUUCUAGAGUGUCCAUAACUGGGACCUGAUCCUGAAGUGGGGUUGCUGGUGGAUCUGCAGGUGCAGCCCUAGUUGUUGUGCGAGCCACACCUCUGCCCCUACCGCGACCACGAUCGUGUCCUCGGCCUCUAGUGGCCAUAGUUGGUGGUACUGGUGGUCGUCUAUCCUGACUGAUAGCGCGAUGUCCUCACCAUCUGUGAGAGAAUAGAAUAACAGAAUGUUAGUACUCGGAUCAACAAAUUCGCACGACAAGAAUUUUAAGAAUAUGAAGUUUUUCCUAAAGGUUCUGCAGCCUCUUGAGGAUAAAUACAGAUGUCUCUGUACCGAUCUGCGAGACUCUACUAAACCUGCUCAUAACUCGUGAGACCUAUGUAACCUAGGCUCUGGUACCAACUUGUCAUGACCUUAAACCCGGACCCGGUCAUGAUGGCGCCUCUCGUGAAGUCAAGGCCAGCCGACAUUUCCCAUUUCAGUUUUUAAGCAAUUAAACAAUAAGAUUCAAAUCUAAAUCAUGAUAAAUAAUCCAAAGUUUAAGCAGUCAAUAAUACAAAUUUGCAGAAGAACAACCCAACACAGUCCGAUACCAGGGUGUCACUAGUCAUGAGCAUCUAAAAUCUGAAAUAAUCAAGAAAAGACUACAGAGUUCCGUACAAAACUAAAACAAGGAUAAACAAUACAGGGAAGAAGCUCUGGGCAGCAAAAGCCGGCAACUACCUAGAGAAUUCUCGGAUCCACCUGAGCUGGAAGGAUCAACACUCGGGAGCGGGACUAGAUGCGCCUGAAUCUGCACAUGGGGUCCAGGGAGUAAAGUGAGUACUCCAACUCAGUGUAAUAAUCAUAAAUAAACACUGAAAGCAUUAAUUCACGUAAGGCACAUUACAGGCUAUAACUAGGCAGUAAAACCAAUAAAAACAGUAAAUCAGUAAAAGAUAUGUGAAAGUCAUUUUAGUUCAAAUUACACUUAUGAAAAGCCUUUUUCAACAAUUAAGCAGGUAAAUGAUAGGCAAUUAAGGAAGUUAAACACAUAAAGGUUUGCCCCUCGGGCAUAGCAUCAACAAAUCCUCCCCUCGGGCAUAGCAUCAACAAAUCCUCCCCUCGGGAAGUAUCUCAGAAUAAUAGUAGCCCCUCGGGCUAUAUCUCACAUCACAAUGGGUACCCGCGCUCACUAGGGGUGUGCAGACUCCUGGAGAGGCCCUUUACGGCCUAAGCGCAAUAUCAAGCCAUCUCGUGGCAUCAUCACUAGGCUCUCGGCCUCAUAUCAACAAGCCACCUCGUGGAGUACACAUCUCAGGCCCUCGGCCUCAUAAGCAUAAUCAGUAUUUCCUCACAACAUAGGCCCUUGGCCUUACUCAGUCAAAAUCUCACAGCCACUCGGGCAACAGUAAAACAUAGUGCUUAGCCCAAAAUAUCAUUUAAGUGUUAAAGUAGAGUAAACAUGGCUGAGUUACGAAAAUAGUAGAAUAUAACAUGAUUGAGUUCAAGUAUAAAGUCAAAAUAGUUGCGGUACCGCAUUUGCGGUUAUUUCUCCGCUUCUGCGGAAAUCACUUAACUUACGGUUUUCUGCUUAUGCGAUCCCUCAUCCGCAUUUGCGACAUUGCAGAUGCGGUCCAUCUCACCGCUUCUGCAGUUCCUGACUCCCUCAGAACUUCAGUUUCUGCUACCUCCCUUAUUGCACAUGCGGUCCCCAAUUCGAAUGUGAGGAAAUACCAGAAGCAACACCUUCAACAGCUGCAACAAAAUUCCAACUUCUCUGUUAACCAUCUGAAAUCACCCCGAGGCCCCCGGAACCUCAACCAAAAGAACAAACAUAUCCUAAUACCUUAUUCAAACUUGUACCAAUCUUUAAAACACCUCAAAUAACAUCAAAUCAACCAAAACCCAUCAGAUUCAAGCCAAAUUUUCUAAAAUCUUCCAAAUUCCGCUUUUGAUCAAAAACCCAACCAAACCUCGUCCGAAUGACAUGAAAUUUUGCACAUACAUCCUAAAUGAUACAACGGAACUACUGCAACUCUCAGAAUUCCAUUCCGACCCCUCUAUCAAAAUCUCGCCUACCAACCGGAAAUUGCCAAAAUAUCAACUUUGCCAAUAAAAGCCUAAAUCUACUACGAACCUCUAAAAUUCAUUUCGAUCACGCUCCUAAGUCACAAAUCACCUCCCAAAGAUAGCCGAACCAUCAAAACUCACAUACGAGCCCUCUAACACAUAAGUCGAUAUCUGGUUGACUUUUCCAACUUAAACUCACUCUUAAGAGACUAAGUGUCUCAAACCUUACCAAAUCCUUUCCGAACUCGAUACGACCAACCCGAUACCACAUAACACGGAUAACAAGGCAUAACAAAGCAGAAAUAGGGAAAACGGAGUGGUAACUCAUGAGACGACUGGCCGGGUCAUCAUAAUAUUCCCCUACCUCUCCCCCUUGUGUGAGAUUUGUUCUGAAGCUGUAUGUUCUCUAGCCUGCUUUCUAACUAUUUUUUUUAAAUGCCUUAUUAAAUUGUUCCUACUCUUUACUCUGUUCUGACUUUCAUAAAUGUUCUUUCUACUAGUAAGAUCUUCAUUCUCUAUCUACCAAACCCUUUCAAAGUCAUUAUGCACUCCCACAUUACUCCUAGAGUAUUAGGUUCUGCCCCUCUGGCAUGUCAGAGCUGGCCUUUCCACACUGCACUUAAAUCAGUUAUUGUUGAGAAAGGGUUUAGGUGUGAGCACUACCCGGGAUCCUUGAGGUCCUUAGGGAACUUUGACACACCUAGACAUGAUAUCGUCUAUGGAACUUUGGUAUUGAGGCUAUCGGAGGCUUGGGAAAUCAUUUGGGCCUGCUUCAGGCUCCCUAUAGUUAACUUCUUUUUUUUUAUUUGUUUAUGUAAUUUAUUUCAGACGGUAUGUAAUAAUUAUAUAUAAACAACAUUGGGGUGAUUAGUGAAAAGGGAUGGGUAGUUAUAUCUGUUAGGGUAAUUCGGGUAGAUACCAUGCCUAUAGGAUUGUGUUAAUACACUUGUUAUGUUUGCUUUACUUUCACAAUAUUAGAAAUUAUGUCUAUAGGGUUAAAAUCAACUUUAUAAUUAGAAAUCAUGCUUAUAGGAUCUAAAUGGCUUUGUAAUUAGAAAUCAUGCCUAUAGGAUUUAAAUGGCUUUAAUAACUAGAUACCAUGCCUAUAGAGUGUAAAGUAAUUGAGUUCAAUUUCUGCCACUACAUGUAUUUGCAUUUGUUUCACUAAAAAUCAUGCCUAUAAGUUCCAACAUCAGCUCUUAACAAUUAGAUACCAUGCCUAUAUGAAUUAAAAUCAAAAAUCCUACCUACAGAACUAAAAUCAGUUUGGUUAAACAAGUCAGUUUAAUUCAUGUCUAAUUCGUGUUCAAAUUGGUUCAAUUACUGUCCAUUUCUUUAAAUGAGUUUCCAAACACUGCCUUAAUUUACUACCGCUAGAAAACAUGUCUAUAGGAUCUCAAAUAUCUAUUUAAAACUGUUCGCUAUUUUACUAAAUCAAGGUAGAUAUCCUGCUCUUAGGACAUCACUGUCUGCGUUUAGGCAAGCCUAUAGGGCGAUUAAAAUUUUGCAACUCUGAAAUUGUGUUUUUGCUAUUUAAACUGUCCAGAUUUAAUAGGUUUAAACCAGUAGGCAAGCUAAAUAGGAUUUUGACACUUUGUCCUAAUUCAAGGCUGUGUAAUCCCUGCUCACCUAGAUACCAUGUUCUAGGAUCUUCUCUUAAAUACUGGACUAUUGUUUGAAGACGUGCAAUUACUUGUUAUAUUUGUGGAGGUAACUUUGGGCCUAUAACUUGUUCCCUUUAAAUGCAAUCCUAACCGUUCUUGAUUGAUUCCUAGACUUUUAUCCUUUAAAACCUUAGGAGGGUCUAGAACUGUCCAAAAGUAGAGGUCCUGAAAUACCUCCAGGGCCACGAGGAGGGGACGGGUAGUGCACACAUAAGACAUUUUAAUGUUAUUAGAAUGCUUUAGGUUAUGAUGACUACGCGCUAAUAUCACGUCUAGCCCCUUAUUGAGGAGUGUUUACCGGGCAUUGUGUGGGGUGAUCCUGUAGGCUAAUCAACAUAGGAUCCCUUUCUCCAAUUCCCAAUGUACUUUACUUUUUUAUAUGCAACUUGCUCAAAUUCUUUGUCUUAUUAUUAUUUGAGUCAAACAGUGUCCGAUAUACUUUUAUUUACAAAUUAUGUGUUUCAACUUCUUGUUUUUAAAGGACUAAUUCAUAAGUAUGAGUUCGGCCAGGACCCACUAUUGUGGACCAAGAGGGGUGCCUAACACCUUUCCCUCAAGGUUAUUUCGAGCCCUUACCCUAAAUCUCUAGUAAUGCAAAUUAGUCUAAGUGUUAAUUACUCUAGGUGCCCUAACGCACCAUAAAUCCGUUAGGUGGCGACUCUUCAAAUACCCAAAUCCCAAAACCCCCCAUGAACGUCGGAACCCGGAAUUCUCUCCGCGAAGAGAAAAAAGGGGCGCGACACUACUUAUUUCCUGCAUCGUUAGUGUGGAAGUUUCAAAUAAUUUUUUACUGUGCUGUUUUGGAUUGGAUAACCAGUCGUUGGAUGAUUUUUUUUUCUUUUCUUGUUUUGCUAUAAAAAGAAAUAAUCAAAGCUGAAGGGAGAAAUAAAUCAAAGAUUGAUUGAAGCAUCUAAAAGGAAAAAGAGCGCUAAGAAUCCGACAAGAAAAUCAAUCAGAGAUUGCCUGAAGAGUUAAAAAGGAAAAAACGCAUUAAAGAUGGAAGGAACCAUAUUUAAGGAGCAAACACGGCGCUAUUAAGGCUUGAAGAUGGAAGGUGUCAAAGUCCACACAUCAAGGAAGAGUAACGGGCAUUUACCUUAUUCUUGGAAAGAAUCAAUUUCUUUCCAAGGAUCAAAUCUCUUGGGUUGACAAAUCUGUUCAGUAACAGUCUCCUACAAAGUAUUUAUACGCAACCUUAGGACUUAGAGACAUAUACUUUGAUCAAACCAAUUAUCCUCUCUUUGUUCUACCACAAACAAACAUUGUAGCUUUACUAGAUCUACCGUGUAACAACUUAGAGAAGAAAGAGAGAAAAAUACUAGUGAGGCAUUGUAUCAAGAAAAGACGAGUGACAUAAAAACUGAGUUGUUGGUGUAAACUACACCAUUCACUUUGUACUCAAGAAACUCAAUCCCUGAAAGAGAAAUCCCUUGCAACCCAAGGGAACUGGACUAGGAUUCACAUUGAAUCCGAACCAGUAUAAAACCUCCGUGUCUUUAAUUCUUGCAAUUUACUUCUGCAUUUUAAUUCUGCACCUUUUGAUAUCUUGCUAUUACAUCUAGCCGACUAAUUGAAAAAAUAAUCAACUUAUAACAAUUAAUUUUAAUAAUAAAUCAAUUCACCCCCCUCUUGUACUUUCAUGUACUUAUCUUCUAGAGGCUAUGAAGUUUAGGAACAAAUUUCACUUUUACUCUUCUUUGUCGUGUGAUUUUACUCUCUCAUUGCUCAUUGAACUCUUCUACUCUUGUUCUCUCACAGAUGGUGAGAACAUGUACUGCAUUUCAAUCGGAGACCCCAGUGGCAGCUCCUAUGAGAAGUAGAGGUCGAGGCUGAGGUAGAGGUAGAGCUCAGCCCAGAGCUCGAGCACCAGCACCAGCACCAGUAGUAGAGUCUUAGGUGGAGUUUGAUGAGGAGGUUCCAUCCUAGACUGUGCCUAUUGGACCAGCUCAGGUCCCGGAGGGGUUCAUCGCCACCCUUGUGCUUCAAGACGCUCUAGUCCGUUUAUUGGGCCUUAUGGAUAGUGUGUCCCAGGCCGGUACAUUCCCUAUAGCACCACCCAUAUAUCAGGCUGGGAGAGGAGCAAAGACUCCCACUACUCACACUCCGGAGCAGAUGAACCCUAAUACCAGACUCCAGCAGCCCAGCCAGUUAGGGUAGUUUAGCUGGUGUUGUGGCAUAUGCCGGUGAUGGACUAACCAUGUCUUCUGAGGGCUUAUUGAGAUUGGACAAGUUUACCAAGCUCUUACUAGUUCACUUCAGUGGUGCACCUUCUGAGGAGCCACAGGAUUAGCUUGGCCGCUGUCAUGAGGUGCUGCGGAACAUGGGGAUAGUUGAGACCAAUGGGGUCGAUUUUGCUUUGUUUUAGAUGAUGAUUUCCACCAAGAGAUGAUGGAAGGAUUUUGUAGCUACUAGACCAGUCGGGUCGUAUGCUCUUACUUGGGACUAGUUCUCUCAGAUAUUUCUUGAGAAGUUCUUUCCUGUCAUACUGAGAGAGGAUUAUCGCAAGCAGUUUGAGCGUCUCCAUCAGGGCAGUAUGUUAGUCACUCAGUAUGAGACUCGUUUUGUGGAUCUGGCCAGUCAUGCUAUUCUUCUGCUUCCUACCAAGAGAGAGAGAGAGAGAAGGUGUGGAGGUUUAUCGAGGGACUCGCUCAGCCUAUCAAAUUGCAGAUGGUUAAGGAGACCGGGAGCGAUAUUUUUUUCUGACAGCUGCUAAUGUCACCUGGCGAGUCGAGAUGGUUCUUGCAUAGGGGGAGGUAACGGAUCUGACAAGAGGCCUCGUCAUUCCAGUGGGUUCAGUGGUGCCUCGUCUGGAGGCAGGGGUACUUUCGGUAGAGGCCAUCCUCACAGGCCGUUUUAUUUAGCACUCCAGGCGUCCCAUAGUGCUACAGGUGGUUGUGGCCCUCAUAUGCCUCAUUCUGACUAGCUAACCUAUAGUGCACCACCAGCUCCUAUUAGUGCACCUCGGCUCCAGAGUUUUCAGGGUGGUUUCUCGGGUUGACAUGGUCAGUUUUAGGGUCUGCAGUCACAGCAGCCAAGGUCCUGUUAUACUUAUGGUGAUCUGAGGUAUAUUGCUAGAUUUUUUCCUCGGGCAUCGAGCAUCUCACAAUAUCAAGGUUCUCGUGCCAUGGUCCCAGCACUGGUGCUUUACUGCCCGCUAAUAUAGCUAGAGGUUGGGAUCAGACAGCUAGAGGUAGAGGUUAGGCUAUCAGAGGUGGUGGUCAGUCUGCUAGAGGUGGAGGCCAGCCAGCUAGGGCCCGUCCAUAGAGAUAUAGUUCAGAGUGGUGGGGCCCAGCCUCGAUGCAAUGCUUUUCCAGCUAGGCCUAAGGCUGAGUCAUCUGACGCCGUUAUCAGAUGUAUUGUUUCAGUUUGCCGUAGUGAUGCUUCAGUUCUAUUUGAUCCGGGCUCUACUUAUUCCUACGUGUCAUCCUAUUUUGCUUCAUAUUUGGUUAUGCCUCGUGAUUCUUUGAGUGCUUCUAUGUAUGAGCCUACACCUAUGGGAGAUGCUAUUGUUGUAGAUUGUGUUUAUCAUUUGUGUGUGGUUACAAUUGAAAGUCUUGAGACUAGUGCAGAUCUUCUACUUCUUGAUAUGGUAGACUUCGAUGUUAUCUUAGGCAUAGAUUGGCUAUCACCGUAUCACACUAGAUUGGAUUGUCACGCCAAGACGGUGACCUUAGCCUUGCCAGGGUUGCCUCGAUUAGAGUGGAGAGGGACUCCUGGCCAUUCUACCCGGAGGGUUAUCUCUUAUGUGAAGGCUCGGUAUAUGGUCGAGAAGGGGUGUCUAGCUUAUCUGGCUUAUGUCCGCGAUUCUAGUAUGGAGGUUCCUUCCAUGGAUUCAGUACCUAUUGUUUGUGCGUUUCCAGAGGUAUUUCCUACAGACUUGCUGUCAUGAUCCUAAAACUCACCCGGUCAUGAUGGCGCCUAUCGUGAAACUAGGCCAGCCGACACAAACCCAAAACCAACUAGAAAAUCAUAAGAAGCCAUUUUAAGCCAUUAAUUAACUAAAAUCCCAUAAUAUAAGUUUAAACAAGCAGUGCGGAAAUAUAACACAAGCCCGACAUCGGGGUGUUACCAGUCAUGAGCAACUACAAACUUUUCUAAGAACAAGGAAAGGCUAACAUAGUCCGAAAAUAAAAUACUAAGACAAUCUGAGUAAUAAGAAGGAGAAAUGUAGGGCUGCGAACGCCAAGAAGCUACCUAGCCAACUCUGGAGACCUGCUGGAAGACUGAUCAGCACUCACUAUCACGUCCCGAGACUCAUGAAUCUACACACAUGGUGCAGGGAGUAAUGUGAGUACGCCAACUCAGUAAGUAUUAAAAGUAAAAGAAGCUAAGCAGUAAGAAAACAUGUAAUUCCACGUCAUAGAACUACAACAAAAUAGUAUAUGUCCAGAACAAUACAGUAAAUCAAUUAACUCGUAAAACAACUCGGUUCAGUAAAACCCUUUUAAAACAUCUUUCAAUAGUUUCAAACGAGUGAUGAAAACAGUGAGUAAAAGGAUAGAAAGUAAAUGGCCCCUCGGCCAAAACAUGUAUCAAAAACUGCCCAUCGGGCAAAAUAUCAACAAAACCAGCCCCUCGGGCAACAACAUGAAACAACAAGAGCCCCUCGGGCAAUAUCAUAUCACUCACACUGGGACACGCACUCACUGGGGGUGUUCAGACUCUAGAAGGGCUCCUACAGCCCAAGCGCUAUCACAAGCCAUCACGUGGCAUAGCAAAUCAGGCCCUCGGCCUCUCAUAUAUCACAAAUCAGUACAACAUGCUAUGACGCACAGCCCGAUCCCAUAAUAUCCUCACAACACAGGCCCUCGGACUCACUCAGUCAGAAAUCUCUCAAGCCACUCGGGCAAUAGUAAAACAUGAUGCUCAGCCCAAAAUAUCAUUUAAAUUAUCAAAAUGGAGUAAGUACGGCUGAGUUAUAAAAACAGUAGAAUACAACAUGACUGAGUUUAGAUAUUAAGUAAAACCAUUAAGGAAUAGUAGUAAAAAGCCCCUAAGGGUCCAAAACAGUUGGCAUGAGGCCCAGAUAUGGCAUUCAAUCCAAAACAUGGAAAUACUUUCCAAAACACAAUGAUAUCAAAUAGUUUUCAAUCAAAUACACGACUUAACAGUCGUACCGGACAGACCAAGCCAGAAUCCCCAAUGGUGCACGACCCCACACUCAUCAUCUAGCGUGUGCAUCACCUCAAAGUAGCACAACGAUGUGAAAUCUGGGGUUUCAUACCCUUAGGACAAUAUUUACAAUCAUUACUAACCUCGAUCCGGUCCAAACUCUAGCCCGCAAUGCCUUUGUCUCUCUAUUUGUUCUCUAAAUGCUCCAAAUCUAACCAAAAUCAGUAUCAUACCAUAAAUACGCGCUAAAGGAACAAAGCCCAAGCGAAAUAAUCAAAUUAACUCAAAAAUCCUAAAAUUGGUCAAACCCGACCCCAGGCCCACAUCUCGGAAUCCGAUAAAAAUUACAUCAAUAGAAUCCUUAUUCUCCCACGAGUCCAUACAUACUAAGAACAUCAAAAUCGGAACUCAAAUGUCCCCUUAAAUCCCCAAUUUACACUCUCUAAUUUCAACCCCUAAUUCCCCAAUUUUAGGCUUUAAAUCCCACUAAUUUCAUGUCUAAAUAGUUAGAAAUCAUCAUAGAAUUGAGUAUUGAGUUCAAAAACCUUAUCUCCAAGUGUUUCGCUUCGAUUCCAUCUCCAAUACCUCUCAAAAAGCUUCAAAGCCGUUCAAAAAUGGUGAGAAAUGGGCUAAUAAUCGCGAAGAUGAGUUUUUAUACAUUCUACCCAGGUGCUCUCUUCAUCGCGAACGCGACCGUCCUCUCGCGUUCGCGUAGGCCAAUAUCAGACUUCCUCUGCUUAACCAUUUGUGAAUGCGACAACUUCUUUGCGAAUGCGAUGCUCAACCAGCUCACUCCUUCGCGAACGCAGACCUCGCCUCGUGAACACGUAGACCAAAGACCUGGGUUCCCCAACUGCCUCACUCCUCUUCGCAAAUGCGACCCCACUCACGCGUCCGCGAUGCACAUGAUGCCUUAACCUUCGCGUUUGCGUCCUCUCCUUUGUGAACGCGUAGAACAAAAUUCACUACCACAGAAGACACUCUUUGCGAACGCGAGACACCCUUCGCAAACAUGAUUAACAAAAUCUCUGCAACAGAAAACCAGCAAAAUCUGCUAACUCCUCAAGUCCAAAAUGACCUGUUGAGCAUCCGAAACACACCCGAGGUCCUUGGGACCUCAACCAAAUAUGCAACACAUCCCAUAACAUCAUUCAAACUUGUUCCAACCUUCGGAACACAUAAAACAACAUCAAAACAUCAAAUCACCCUCAAAUUUAAGCAUAAGGAUUCUAGAACUUCCGAAUUCCGCAAACGUUCAAAAUGUCUGUCAAACAUCACUUGAAUAACCUGAAAUUUUGCACACACGUCAAAAAUGACACAACAGACCUACUCUAAUUUUCAGACUUCCAUUCUAACCCCGAUAUCAAAAUUUCCACUGUCAACCGAAAAAUGCCAAAUUUUCAAUUUUGCUAAUUCAAGCCUAAAUCUACCACGGACCUCCAAAAUACAUUCCAGUUAUGCUCCUAAGUCUCAAAUCACCUAACGAAGCUAUCCGAACCAUCGAAAUUCACAUCCGAGGCCUUUUUCAUAUAAGUCAAAAUCCGGUUGACUCUUCCAUCUUACGCUUACUCAAAAGAGACUAAGUGUCUCAUUUCUCUAUAAAAACCACUCCAAACCUGAACCAACCACCCCAAUACCACAAAAUACAGCUGAACAAGACAUAAGGAAGAAGCAAUGGGGGAAACGAAGCGGUAACUCAUGAAACAACCGGCCGGGUCGUUACAUCCUCCCCCUCUUAAACAAACAUUCGUCCUCGAAUGAGUCAACAAACAUACCUAAAGCCUCAAAUAGGUGAGGAUAUCUACUCUGCAUCUCCCGCUCAGUCUCCCAGGUAGCCUCCUCCACGGGCCGACCUCUCCACUGCACUUUCACUGAAGUUAUAUUCUUUGACCUCAACUUUCGGACCUGCCACUCCAAAAUAGCAACUGGCUCCACAUCAUAAGUCAAAUCACCAUCUAACUGAAUCGUGCUGAAAUCCAAAACAUGAGACGGAUCGCCAAUAUACUUUCGGAGCAUAGAAACAUGAAAUACCAGAUGCACACUUAACAAGCUGGGUGGCAAAGCAAGCGCAUAAGCCACCUCCCCAAUCCUCCGAAGUACCUUAAAAGGACCAAUGAACCGGGGACUCAACUUACCCCUCUUCCCAAAUCUCAUAACACCCUUCAUGGGUGAAACCUUCAAUAGAACAUUCUCCCCAAGAAUGUAAGACACAUCACAGACCUUCCUGUCAGCAUAACUCUUUUUUCUUGACUGCACUGUACGAAGCCGCUCCUGAAUCACCGUCACCUUGUCUGAAGCAUCCUGCACCAAGUCUGUACCCAAAAUCCUAGCCUCACUCAGAUCAAACCAACCAACCAGAGAUCUACACCGCCUCCCAUACAAAGCCUCAUAUGGAGUCAUCUGAAUACUCGACUGGUAACUGUUGUUGUAAGCAAAUUCUGCGAGCGGUAGAAACUGAUCCCAUGACCCUCCAAAAUCAAUGACACAAGCACACAACAUGUCCUCUAAUAUCUGAAUAGUUCGCUCGGACUGCCCGUCCGUCUGAGGUGAAAAGUUGUGCUCAACUCAACCUGAGUACCUAACUCUUGCUGCACAUCCCUCCAAAAUUGCGAAGUAAACUGAGUACCUCUAUCUGAAAUGAUGGAAACUGGAACACCAUGAAAGUGAACAAUCUAUCGAAUAUAGAUCUCUGCUAACCGCUCUGAAGAAUAGGUAGUACAAACAAGAAUGAAGUGCGCGGACUUGGUCAGCCGAUCCACAAUCACCCAAAUAGCCUCGAACUUCUUCAAAGUCCGUGGGAGUCUAACUACAAAAUCCAUGGUGAUUCUCUCCCACUUCCACUCUAGAAUAUCCAUCUGCUGAAGCAAGCCACCCGGUCUCUGAUGAUCAUAUUUCACCUACUGACAGUUGAGACACCAAGCUACAAAUCCCACAAUGUCCUUCUUCAUUCUCCUCCACCAAUAAUGCUAUCUCAGAUCCUGAUACAUCUUCGCAGUACCCGGAUGAAUGGAAUAUCGCGAGCUACGGGCCUCCUCCAGAAUCAAAUCCCGAAGCCCAUCCACAUUGGGCACACAUAUCUAGCCCUGUAUCCUCAACACCCCAUCAUCACCAAUAGUCACAUCUCCUGCAUCAUCGUGCUGAACUCUGUCCUUAAGGACAAGCAAAUGAGGAUCAUCAUACUGGUGCUCUUGAUGUAAUCAAAUAAGGAAGACCGAGAAACCACACAAGCUAAGACCCGACUAGGCUCCGAAAUAUCCAACCUCUCAAACCGAUUGGCCAAGGCCUGAACAUCAACUGCAAGAGGUCUAUCUCCAAUAGGAAUAUAUGCCAAACUGCCCAUACUCAAUGCCUUCCUACUCAAGGCAUCGACCACUACAUUGGCCUUUCCCGGAUGGUACAAGAUAGUGAUAUCAUAGUCCUUUAGCAACUCCAACCACCUCCGCUGCCUCAAAUUGAGAUCCUUCUACUUAAACAAGUGCUGGAGGCUGCGAUGAUCAGUAAACACCUCACAAAACAUGCCAUACAGGUAUGCCUCCAAAUCUUCAAUGCGUGAACAAUGGAAGCCAACUCUAGAUAUCCACACAUUUUCACCUCGAUCGAACGACAACGGGAUACUAUUUCGAUAAGUUCAAAAUAACACCCUUUAAGGCCAAGGACCUUCUCCAAAAUGAAGAGUUCGACCUCGAUCAAAUGACGACGGGUUACUAUUUCGAUAAGUUUUGAAUAACACCCUUUAAGGCCAAGGGCCUUUCCCAAAGUGAAGAGUUUAACCUUGAGCGAACGAUGACGAGUUACUAUUUGGAUAAAUUCGAAAUAACACCCUUUGAAGCCAAGGGCCUUCGCCAAAAUGUAGAGUUCGACCUCGAUCGAACAACGACGGGUUACUAUUUCGAUAAGUUCGAAAUAACACCCUUUAAGUCCAAGGAUCUUCGCAAAGUGAAUUGUUCGACCUCGAUCGAACGACGACAGGUUACUAUUUCGAUAAGUUCGAAAUAACACCCUUUAAGGAUAAGGGCCUUCGCCAAAAGGAAGAGUUUGACCUUGAUCGAACGACGAUGGGUCACUAUUUCGAUAAGUUCGAAAUAAAACCCUUUAUGCCCAAGGGCCUUUGCCAAAAGGAAGAGUUCGACCUCGAUCAAAUGACAACGGGUCACUAUUUCGAUAAGUUCGAAAUAACAUCCUUUAAGGGCAAGGGCCUUCACCAAAAUGAAGAGUUCGACCUCGAUCGAACAACGAUGGGUUCUAUUUUGAUAAGUUCGAAAUAACACCCUUUAAGGCCAAGGGCCUUCGCCAAAGUGAAGAGUUCGACCUCGAUCGAAUGACGACGGGUUACUAUUUCGAUAAGUUCGAAAUAACACCCUUUAAGGCCAAAGGCCUUCGCUAAAGUGAAGAUUCGACCUUGAUCAAACAACGAUGGGUUACUAUUUCGAUAAGUUCGAAAUAACACCCUUUAGGGCCAAAGACCAUCAAAAAGUGCAAAAAGACCGAGACCCACUGGGCGGGAAUCCAUCUCGCAUCGAAAUCACGCGCAACAUAAACAAGGGUAGAAUACAAGACAAAUAACAGUGAAAAACUCUUCUUUAUACAAAGUCUCCGCGCAAAUGGUAGCGGAUUACAUAAGACCCAAGUUAACAAUAUAUAAAAAAGGAGGGGCAACAAACAACAAAGAAAAAAAACAACGAUAAUCGACUACGAACGAAAAACGGGGAAGAAAACAUCAAAUGGAAAACAGAUCAAUGUCACUAUCCCUCUACUCUACAUAAUCAUCGCCACCCUCUCCAAUACCAUCUCCGGGAAGUUCUCCUUCGACGUUUGUGCCCCCAUUGGCUUCUGGUGUCACCGCAUCAUAUCCACAAUUGACGCGAGCCUCCCGCACUUUCACUCUCGCCUCUUCAUAGGCAUCUUUAGUCACAUUCCCCCCCUCCUACAAACUCUUGUAUAUAUCCUGCUGGGCUUCGGCGUAAACCUAAAGCUCGUGCAUGCAGCGAGGAACGGUGGUGGAGGUAGAUUCAAUCUGAGCCAACAGAUGCUAAUUUUUCGCCUCUAGUGCUGCGACCCGAUCCCCAGAACCGAGGCCUCUUAGUUAAUCUCGCUAAUGUGCUCCGCAUAUCUUGCCUCCAUAAGGGUGGCCAUCGCUCUCUUCGAUUCUUUCUCGGAUUGGAGGACGCGAAUGGUUUUCUCCAGGGCCACCACCCUCGCUGAAGCCGCGGACCAAGUACUCUCGAUGCUCUCCAACCCAACAAUCUUGUUCUCCAGCCCAGUCAAUUUCCCCAUCCAUUCCGCGCUUAGCGCCUCAACCUUGAUCAAGUUCAUAUCCAUCUCCGACUGCUGCUGUGGAUAGCCUGCAUUAAUUCUUGGUCCAUUUUCUGCAACUCCUCACCAAGAGCCCGACUACCAGGGUUUGUAUUCAGCCGCUCAUGCCUUUUGCGAUACUUGUUGCGGUAGCGACGAUAUUUCUCCAACAUCUUCAAGAAAAUCUUGGCCCGAAUGUUGGCCCUACGAAUGCUCUCCAUUUCCACCAUAUACGUCUGAAAAAUAAAAAGAUAGGUUAGAAUCCUAUCAUCAAGGAAAAGCGAAAGUAAGCAUAACAUACCCUUAAGCCCAUAGCGGCCACCUCGUCCAUCAAUUCAGCAUCGAGAAUGGUCCGAAGGGUCACAUUCUCAGAUACGGAGCAUAGCAUGCUGAACUGCGGCACUAGGUCCUCCGUGUCCCCAGGAGAUUGACAUCCGAAGGGAUCUCAAGAAUACGGGCCGAGCCUCCCACACGAACUAACGAGUGAGUAAGACCCUCCUCAAACAUCCUGACAUCAUCAGGGUCGAGGUCCGAUUCGGAUUCAUAGUCGUCGACCACCAUGGCGUUUCCUCUUUCAACAGCCGAAGAGGAAGCAUGACCAACUAUGGAGGACGUGGGUACGUCCGAAACUACAACGGUAGCCCCGAAAAUCUAACCUUCCACCACGAUAGGUUGCUGACCACCAACAACGUUGGGAAUCUCUGGUUGAGCCGAGGCGAUAACCGGUUCCGUCCCUAUGGGGGGAGCCACAAAAACCCCCUCUCCAGACCCUGUCAAAGGAGAGUCAUCUAGAUGAAUCACUGUUGGGGGUGUUGUCUCGAACUCCACUCGCCGUCUUUUUGAUGGCCACUCUUCUUCCCUAGUAGGCAAAGAUUCACCCGUCAGGCGAACAACAUGGGUUGGAACAUCGGCCUGAGAAGCGGCCCUCGCAGAGUAACCACGGACGCAGACUCAACUGAAGCAGCCCUCGACGAAGGUCGGGCAGUGGGUACCGCGAUAGGGCGAGCAGAUAAGGCUGGCUGCCGGAAAGCUAACGGAGGAGCCCUCACUCUCCGUACCCUCCCUGACACCGACAAACAUCAUGUGAGGAAUUAAAUACAAAGAUAAAAAGAGAAAAACAGUGAACAGAAAUGACAUCUUACCAGAAAGAGGCCUGUGCCCAUACUUGUCAUAGAAAGUCGCCCACAUGCGGACCCCUGCUGUAUGAGGGAGAAUAGCACUUACCCACUCGCGGAUAUUUUCGACAGGUGGAGGGGGCAAUUUCUCAGUUGCAAAAACAUAACAGGGUUUAGUACUAUAACGGAAAAUGGUCGGAUAUAUCUUCGACUAAAAGCAUGAGAAGUUCCACUUCUCAGGGAACCCCGUCGGAUCCACCACAAUGUGUUCAGUCUGCACAUAGAAAUAAUUCUCAUAAAAACGAUGGUUAGUUCUAUCAUACAUCUUCACCAUCAGACUCUUCGACCGUCGAGGACACAUGUGAAGCAUCAUGUCGCGGAUAAGCUGAGGAGCGAAGAUACUAAGCAGGUGGUAUAAGGUGAUCUCACGACCGGCGAGUUCCGCAAACUUGAGCAACAUAAGGAACAUCUUGUAUAGGUACGACGAAAGUUGGGCGGAGCAUACCUCAUAAAAGCGGUAGAAGUUUACCACUAGGAGAGGGAGAGGAAGUGUGUAUCCAAUAAGGAAGGGGUAAGCAUAAAAUACACAGUACCUACAACAGUCAAAGUGAACUAUGUCGUUUCCUUCCACCGGCCGCAUGUCGACAUAACCCGGGAUCCUCCACCUGGUUUUCAACUCUACAAUGCCUUCUUCUCUCAUAACAGAAGGAACAGGCUCCGGCUCCGCCCCGGCGCGACUGCUGAAGUCGGUCAAUUCUCUCCCAGUGCAAGGAAAAAUCUCAACUAUCAACAAGACCUCCUCGUCUUCCACUGCAUCUGCCCCUCCAGUGACCUGAGCAGCACUUUCCGGUGCUGGAAUCGUGACGGGGAGAUCGGUGCGAGAGGAAUCACCAGCCAUUUUGUCCAGAAGAUACGGCAAAAAGACAACGGAAAGAAAGGAUGAAAAUCCUCAGUUAACAAAAGGGCAAACGAAAACUUGGAAUGUCAGGAAGAAAGUAUAUUUGCAGAAUUCUUUCGCGUAAAAGGAAAAAAGUGUGUCAAUCGAAUGAUAAGUUCUUUCUAUUUAUAAGAGACAUAGAUCCCUCGAGCACGAAACCUAAGAGUCGCCAAUUGAACCUGAUAGGGCACGAAACGUUUCAGUUCCCCAGGGACGUGUGUCAUGAUGGCGGUAACCACAAAAUAAGGCUUCGAUACCAAACGACGUUUUGGUUCCGAAACAGCCGCAACGGUUCAUGGGUAUCAAGAGAACGCCGCCACCUCGCCUAAAACCCAAGUAAUGUAACUAAGGAACGAGAAGUCAGAUUUUGCUCAAACUCAUAGCAAUCAUGAUCCGUUUGCCGGGCCCGACAGAGGACGACCCCAAUAUCAUACCCUUUUUUACAAACUUCACUUAACUCUUUUAAAAUUAAUAAAAGUGAUUCGUAAAGCUUGAAAAGGAUUUUCUAAUUAGAACAUGACAAAAAUUGUGUUCAAAAGGAAAUAACUCAGAGUCGCCACCUGACAUUGAUUUCGGUGUGUCAGGUCAUCAUUUUUUUUAAAAAUGAUUUUUCCUUUAAGACACUUUGGACUCCAAAACUAAAUUCGCACCAGAGAUUUGGGUAAGGGGGUUUAUUUGACUCGGGGAGAAGGUGUUAGGCACUCCCCAAGUCUGUGAAAGUCACGGUUUCAUACUCGAUCUAGUUGGCUUUUAAAAUAUUUAAGUUGAGGUAAAAUAAAAACAGAAAAGAAAAAUAAACACGUAAGAUGCUCGAGGUCGUCCCCCUCCUAAUAAAAGAAAGAUAAAAAUAAAAUGAAAUAAGAAUAAAAGUACCACGAGUUCGCUUUCCGCCUCCAAUUAUAGAAUACUAAGGGGCAUUCCCCAGAAUAAAAAAUAUACAAAUCCUUCGGGGCAUUCCCAGGAUAAAUUUAACUAAGGGAAUGACCUCUUGCCUCAAAAUUAAACAAACAAAAUCCUAGAGUUUGCCUACCUAAACAUUAACGGCCUAAACAUGCUCCUAGCAAUUAAAAGCAACAAAGCAAGAUAAAGAACUAAGAAAAUCGAUCCAAGCUCAAAUUUUUGUAAUUCCCUUUCCAGCUCGUCCAGUACGCCUUUAUAAAGUCCAUGUUUCUAUUAAACCAACCCCUUGACCAAAUUCAAUUUUUUGUCCCGUUUAUCAAAUUGUGACUUAUUUGCCUUAAUAUUCCUAAUGCACUUCAAGUUUAACCCAAUUAAUUCAAAUUGAUCCAACACAAAAUUAACGAUAAUGCAAAAAACUACAGUGAAUCAAGGAAGCAAAAAAACACAAAACAAGACAUGAAACAUUCCAAAAACCACAAGCAAAAUAAUGAAAAAGAUCAAAGCACAUAUCAGAUGAGAGAAAAUUGAACCUCAUUGAUUGAUUUCUUUGUAUUAAACGUGACCUUGGUCGCAACAAACUCUGACAAACCAAAUUUGGCCGAAAAGCGCAAUAGUAGCAGGAGCUCGGACCGCGAAUUCCUUUGACAGACCUCUUCGACUCAAACUCAGGAUCCUGAGCAGCUAUGUUGGCGCUGAGAAUACUCUAAUCACUAGUUAUAAAAUUAGCUAAAAUUGGCUAUAACCUUUUGACCACUUAAAAUUCAGCAGACUCCCAUAAAUUUUUAAUAGAAGACAAAACCCUCUUGGCUCUUGUUUGAGAACUAGGUGAAGAAGUGAGAAAAGCAAUAGCCACAAAAAUAGUAAGUAAAAAGAGACGUUUGGCUAGCUUCUCUAUCUCUCUCGUCUGGAUGUGCACAAAUCCGGCGUCGCUACCGCAACGAGUAACACCAGAAUAGCGCUAAUGGGAAGCAAAGAUCAAAGGGUUGCCAAAGUAGGCAUGUCCGGCCAGAUCUAGUUUCGUCCUGUGUGUGUGUGUGUGUUUGAGAAUGAGGGGAGAUCACAACUGUUGGGAGUGGGUAGAGACGGGGUUGUCGUUGGCGGCUGUAUAUUCUGGAGAAGAUGACUGUGUGUGGCGGGUUAGAGGCUGGUGGCGGAGAGGUCUAACGAUGGUUCUCUUUUUAAAAUGGGGUGGUGGAAUUGGUCGGCGGUGUGGAGCUGGGUAGUGUCCAGGCUGCUGAUGGCUUGGAGAUGUGAAGAAGGUGGGAGAUUAGGGAGGGACAGCUGGUUUCUCGUUAGGGCUUUCUAGGGUUU
This 24875-nucleotide long non-coding RNA is filed under the name Nicotiana tabacum (common tobacco). RNAcentral's name for it is "long non-coding RNA (NTAB_LNC002831)". The record is from RNAcentral. Lineage: Eukaryota; Viridiplantae; Streptophyta; Magnoliopsida; Solanales; Solanaceae.